GUUUCGGUAGCUCAGUUGGUAGAGCACUUGCCCGCAAAAGGCAAAGGUCCCGAGUUCGAGUCUCGGUCCGGGACA
This 75-nucleotide transfer RNA is filed under the name Schistocerca americana (American grasshopper). Its description in RNAcentral is "tRNA-Leu". It matches the Rfam family "tRNA". From Rfam's summary of the family: Transfer RNA (tRNA) molecules are approximately 80 nucleotides in length. The record is from RNAcentral. Lineage: Eukaryota; Metazoa; Arthropoda; Insecta; Orthoptera; Acrididae.